UACGUAGGGGGCAAGCGUUGUCCGGAUUUAUUGGGCGUAAAGAGCGUGUAGGCGGCUAGGUAGGUCCGUUGUGAAAACUCGAGGCUCAACCUCGAGACGUCGAUGGAAACCAUCUAGCUAGAGUCCGGAAGAGGAGAGUGGAAUUCCUGGUGUAGCGGUGAAAUGCGCAGAUAUCAGGAAGAACACCCGUGGCGAAGGCGGCUCUCUGGGCCGGAACUGACGCUGAGGAGCGAAAGCGUGGGGAGCGAACAGG
This 253-nucleotide ribosomal RNA is filed under the name uncultured bacterium. Its description in RNAcentral is "partial 16S ribosomal RNA". It matches the Rfam family "Bacterial small subunit ribosomal RNA", at positions 524 to 776 of the family's 1533-position model. The record is from RNAcentral.